RNAcentral lists this ribosomal RNA (490 nucleotides) under uncultured bacterium. RNAcentral's name for it is "partial 16S ribosomal RNA". It matches the Rfam family "Bacterial small subunit ribosomal RNA", at positions 30 to 507 of the family's 1533-position model. The record is from RNAcentral.
AUUGAACGCUGGCGGCAGGCCUAACACAUGCAAGUCGAACGGUAACAGGAAGAAGCUUGCUUCUUUGCUGACGAGUGGCGGACGGGUGAGUAAUGUCUGUGAAACUGCCUGAUGUAGGGGGAUAACUACUGGAAACGGUAGCUAAUACCGCAUAACGUCGCAAGACCAAAGAGGGGGACCUUCUGGCCUCUUGCCGUCUUAUGUGCCCAGAUGGGAUUAGCUAGUAGGUGGGGUAACGGCUCACCUAGGCGACGAUCCCUAGCUGGUCUGAGAGGAUGACCAGCCACACUGGAACUGAGACACGGUCCAGACUCCUACGGGAGGCAGCAGUGGGGAAUAUUGCACAAUGGGCGCAAGCCUGAUGCAGCCAUGCCGCGUGUAUGAAGAAGGCCUUCGGGUUGUAAAGUACUUUCAGCGGGGAGGAAGGGAGUAAAGUUAAUACCUUUGCUCAUUGACGUUACCCGAAGAAGAAGCACCGGCUAACUCCGUG